RNAcentral lists this ribosomal RNA (500 nucleotides) under uncultured bacterium. Its description in RNAcentral is "partial 16S ribosomal RNA". It matches the Rfam family "Bacterial small subunit ribosomal RNA", at positions 30 to 523 of the family's 1533-position model. The record is from RNAcentral.
AUUGAACGCUGGCGGCAGGCCUAACACAUGCAAGUCAAGCGGAUGAGAGGAGCUUGCUCCUCGAUUCAGCGGCGGACGGGUGAGUAAUGCCUAGGAAUCUGCCUAGUAGUGGGGGACAACGUUUCGAAAGGAACGCUAAUACCGCAUACGUCCUACGGGAGAAAGCGGGGGAUCUUCGGACCUCACGCGAUUAGAUGAGCCUAGGUCGGAUUAGCUAGUUGGUAGGGUAACGGCCUACCAAGGCGACGAUCCGUAACUGGUCUGAGAGGAUGAUCAGUCACACUGGAACUGAGACACGGUCCAGACUCCUACGGGAGGCAGCAGUGGGGAAUAUUGGACAAUGGGCGAAAGCCUGAUCCAGCCAUGCCGCGUGUGUGAAGAAGGCCCUCGGGUCGUAAAGCACUUUAAGUUGGGAGGAAGGGCUUACAGCGAAUACCUGUGAGUUUUGACGUUACCGACAGAAUAAGCACCGGCUAACUUCGUGCCAGCCGCCGCAGUAA